AGAGUUUGAUCCUGGCUCAGAAUGAACGCUGGCGGCGUGCCUAACACAUGCAAGUCGGAUGUGCCGCAAGGUGCAUGGCAGACGGGUGAGUAACGCGUGGGGAAUCUACCUUUUAGUGGGGAAUAACGCUCCGAAAGGAGUGGUAAUACCGCAUGAGACCGAGUGCUGGGAUGCAUUUGGUGAAACCUGGGGACCGGUAACGGCCUGGGGCUAAGAGAGGAUCCUGCGUCUGAUUAGCUAGUUGGCGGGGUAAUGGCCCACCAAGGCGACGAUCAGUAGCCGGCCUGAGAGGGUGAUCGGCCACACUGGAACUGAGACACGGUCCAGACUCCUACGGGGGGCAGCAGUGGGGAAUUUUGCGCAAUGGGCGAAAGCCUGACGCAGCAACGCCGCGUGGGUGAUGAAGGUCUUCGGACUGUAAAACCCUGUCGUCAGGGACGAAGGUGGCAGUGUUAAUAGCGCUGUUACUUGACGGUACCUGGAGAGGAAGCCCCGGCUAACUCUGUGCCAGCAGCCGCGGUAAUACAGAGGGGGCAAGCGUUAUUCGGAAUUAUUGGGCGUAAAGGGCGCGUAGGCGGUUUUUUAAGUCAGAUGUGUAAUCCCCGAGCUUAACUUGGGAACUGCAUCUGAGACUGGAAGGCUAGAGUACUGGAGAGGGUGGUGGAAUUCCUCGUGUAGCGGUGAAAUGCGUAGAGAUGAGGAGGAACACCAGUGGCGAAGGCGGCCACCUGGACAGUAACUGACGCUGAGGCGCGAAAGUGUGGGUAGCAAACAGGAUUAGAUACCCUGGU
Molecule: ribosomal RNA, 791 nt
Filed under: uncultured bacterium
Lineage: Bacteria
Description: bacterial SSU rRNA
Rfam family: Bacterial small subunit ribosomal RNA
Source: RNAcentral